This 201-nucleotide ribosomal RNA is filed under the name uncultured bacterium. RNAcentral's name for it is "partial 16S ribosomal RNA". It matches the Rfam family "Bacterial small subunit ribosomal RNA", at positions 1300 to 1500 of the family's 1533-position model. The record is from RNAcentral.
GCAGCCUGCAACUCGGCUGCAUGAAGCUGGAAUCGCUAGUAAUCGCGGAUCAGAAUGCCGCGGUGAAUACGUUCCCGGGUCUUGUACACACCGCCCGUCACACCAUGGGAGUAGGUAAUGCCCGAAGUCGGUGACCUAACCGGAAGGAAGGAGCCGCCGAAGGCAGGACUUAUAACUGGGGUGAAGUCGUAACAAGGUAAC